Molecule: ribosomal RNA, 487 nt
Filed under: uncultured bacterium
Lineage: Bacteria
Description: partial 16S ribosomal RNA
Rfam family: Bacterial small subunit ribosomal RNA
Source: RNAcentral
AUUGAACGCUGGCGGCAGGCCUAACACAUGCAAGUCGAACGGUAGCACAGAGAGCUUGCUCUCGGGUGACGAGUGGCGGACGGGUGAGUAAUGUCUGGGAAACUGCCCGAUGGAGGGGGAUAACUACUGGAAACGGUAGCUAAUACCGCAUAAUGUCGCAAGACCAAAGAGGGGGACCUUCGGGCCUCUUGCCAUCGGAUGUGCCCAGAUGGGAUUAGCUAGUUGGUGAGGUAAUGGCUCACCAAGGCGACGAUCCCUAGCUGGUCUGAGAGGAUGACCAGCCACACUGAAACAGAGACACGGUACAGACCCCUAGGGGGGGGAGCAGGGGGGAAUUUUGCAAAGGGGGCGAAAGCCUGAUGCAGCCAUGGCGGGUGUAUGAAGAAGGCUUUCGGGUUGUAAAGUACUUUCAGGGGGGGGGAAGGAAAUGGGGUUAAAAACCGUGUUGUUUGACGUUACCCGAAGAAGAAGCACCGGCUAACCCCGU